Molecule: ribosomal RNA, 497 nt
Filed under: uncultured bacterium
Lineage: Bacteria
Description: partial 16S ribosomal RNA
Rfam family: Bacterial small subunit ribosomal RNA
Source: RNAcentral
GGGGGGGGGGGGGGGGGGGCGUGGUGGAUGGAAGUCGAGCGGACAGACGAGGGGCUUGCUCCUCUGACGUUAGCGGCGGACGGGUGAGUAACACGUGGAUAACCUACCUAUAAGACUGGGAUAACUUCGGGAAACCGGAGCUAAUACCGGAUAAUAUAUUGAACCGCAUGGUUCAAUAGUGAAAGACGGUUUUGCUGUCACUUAUAGAUGGAUCCGCGCCGCAUUAGCUAGUUGGUAAGGUAACGGCUUACCAAGGCGACGAUGCGUAGCCGACCUGAGAGGGUGAUCGGCCACACUGGAACUGAGACACGGUCCAGACUCCUACGGGAGGCAGCAGUAGGGAAUCUUCCGCAAUAGGCGAAAGCCUGACGGAGCAACGCCGCGUGAGUGAUGAAGGUCUUCGGGUCGUAAAACUCUGUUAUUAGGGAAGAACAAAUGUGUAAGUAACUAUGCACGUCUUGACGGUACCUAAUCAGAAAGCCACGGCUAACUACGUG